UUAUUUUUUACUACACUACAUAUUUUGGUAAAGCAUUUACCUAAGUUAUGGAAAAUUCAUAAUUCAUUAGUUAUCUUAGAUAAUACUAAAAAACAAUUAGGUUUACGACGAAACCUAGAAAUCGAUCACUGA
RNAcentral lists this ribosomal RNA (132 nucleotides) under Triticum aestivum (bread wheat). RNAcentral's name for it is "partial small subunit ribosomal RNA". Lineage: Eukaryota; Viridiplantae; Streptophyta; Magnoliopsida; Poales; Poaceae. The record is from RNAcentral.